RNAcentral lists this ribosomal RNA (253 nucleotides) under uncultured bacterium. Its description in RNAcentral is "partial 16S ribosomal RNA". It matches the Rfam family "Bacterial small subunit ribosomal RNA", at positions 524 to 776 of the family's 1533-position model. The record is from RNAcentral.
UACGGAGGGGGCAAGCGUUGUCCGGACUUACUGGGCGUAAAGGGUGCGUAGGUGGCCUGCUGCGUCGGUGCUGAAAGCGCCCGGCUUAACCGGGCGAGGCGUGCCGAUACGAGCGGGCUGGAGCCUCGGAGAGGGCGGUGGAACUCCUGGUGUAGUGGUGAAAUGCGUAGAGAUCAGGAAGAACACCCGUGGCGCAAGCGACCGCCUGGCCGAGUGCUGACACUGAGGCACGAAAGCGUGGGGAGCGAACCGG